UUGAGAGGAUCUUUCCCUAGUACGAGAGGACCGGGAUGGACGAACCUCUGGUGUACCAGUUGUCGCGCCAGCGGCACAGCUGGGUAGCUAUGUUCGGAAUGGAUAACCGCUGAAGGCAUCUAAGCGGGAAGCCAACCUCAAGAUAAGGUAUCCCUUCCACUGGGCAACCAGUGGAACUGAAGACCCCUUGGAGAUGACAAGGUUGAUAGGCCGGGUGUGUAAGUGCGGUAACGCAUUUAGCUAACCGGUACUAAUAGGUCGUGCGGCUUGGCCAU
Molecule: ribosomal RNA, 275 nt
Filed under: Deltaproteobacteria bacterium
Lineage: Bacteria; Pseudomonadati; Myxococcota; Myxococcia
Description: partial 23S ribosomal RNA
Rfam family: Bacterial large subunit ribosomal RNA
Source: RNAcentral